This 351-nucleotide ribosomal RNA is filed under the name uncultured bacterium. Its description in RNAcentral is "bacterial SSU rRNA". It matches the Rfam family "Bacterial small subunit ribosomal RNA", at positions 917 to 1269 of the family's 1533-position model. The record is from RNAcentral.
GGGUCCGCACAAGCGGUGGAGCAUGUGGUUUAAUUCGAUGCAACGCGAAGAACCUUACCAGGGUUUGACAUCCUGCGAAUCUCUUGGAAACGAGAGAGUGCCUUCGGGAGCGCAGUGACAGGUGGUGCAUGGCUGUCGUCAGCUCGUGUCGUGAGAUGUUGGUUAAGUCCCGCAACGAGCGCAACCCACGUCUUUAGUUGCCAGCAGUUCGGCUGGGCACUCUAUGGAAACUGCCCGUGAUAAGCGGGAGGAAGGUGUGGAUGACGUCAAGUCCUCAUGGCCCUUACGGGUUGGGCUACACACGUGCUACAUUGGGUAGAACAAUAAGUUGCUAAGUUGCGAAACCAAGCG